This 54-nucleotide non-coding RNA is filed under the name uncultured eukaryote. The record is from RNAcentral.
UAUUGUUGAUGGCUCUGGUAGUGGUGGUAGUGGUGGUGGUAGCGGCACUCUGGA